This is a long non-coding RNA of Stegostoma tigrinum, 653 nucleotides long. RefSeq lists it as uncharacterized. The record is from RefSeq and is a predicted model, not a curated record. The transcript has 3 exons. Lineage: Eukaryota; Metazoa; Chordata; Chondrichthyes; Orectolobiformes; Stegostomatidae.
AUCGUAUCAUCUGAUUAAAUCAACGUGGUCAAUCCAGAAGAAGACUUUCCAUGAUGGAGACAGGGCAGUUGCAGGACAGAUGAGACCAUCCAUCCUCUUGACAGCUGACCAGCCAGUCUGGCCACCAAAUAAAUUAAUAGACGUAUUGGUCACAUGUGGGCAGGCCUCCUGGUGCCUUCACCUCCAUGGGCAAUAUACCAGGAAGGCUGUUCAGGGAAGAUGGCGGAGAUGGGAAACUGCAUCCAUGUUAUGAUGCCCACGUUUACAAACAAGCCCUCCCCACAUGACAACCGCGUACAUGGAGAUGAAGUGGAAAACAGCAGUGUAAUUAGAACUAACACGAAUUGAAGCGGAGGGAAAGGAGCAAUACCUUCGUGGUAUCACUCUUGGUUGUGAGAAGAGUUUUGAGGUAAUUUGAAUUCAAUAUAUACUGGACACUAUUUGUAAAGAAAUUGGAUUUUAGUACGAAUUUCAAAGACGGGAAAACUGGAAAAAUGAUGUGAAUGUGGGGUAACCCGAUUGAAUUGAUGCGUGUAUGUUGUGGGUCACAAUGGUUCCAGUACUUGCCAAAACCAAAAUUAUAUUGGCCACAUUUUUGUGUCCACUCUUUGAUGGAGCAAAAUGUUUCUUCUGGUCUUUGCUGAAGGUGAUAU